Molecule: ribosomal RNA, 433 nt
Filed under: uncultured bacterium
Lineage: Bacteria
Description: partial 16S ribosomal RNA
Rfam family: Bacterial small subunit ribosomal RNA
Source: RNAcentral
AACGAACGCUGGCGGCAUGCCUAACACAUGCAAGUCGAACGAGACCUUCGGGUCUAGUGGCGCACGGGUGCGUAACGCGUGGGAACCUGCUCUUAGGUUCGGAAUAACUCCCCGAAAGGGGUGCUAAUACCGGAUAAUGUCUUCGGACCAAAGAUUUAUCGCCUUUGGAUGGGCCCGCGUUGGAUUAGCUAGUUGGUAGGGUAAAAGCCUACCAAGGCGACGAUCCAUAGCUGGUCUGAGAGGAUGAUCAGCCACACUGGGACUGAGACACGGCCCAGACUCCUACGGGAGGCAGCAGUGGGGAAUAUUGGACAAUGGGCGAAAGCCUGAUCCAGCAAUGCCGCGUGAGUGAUGAAGGCCUUAGGGUUGUAAAGCUCUUUUACCCGGGAUGAUAAUGACAGUGCCGGGAGAAUAAGCUCCGGCUAACUCCGUG